GGCCUUUAGCUCAGUAGUAGAGCGACAGACUUCGGUCUCAAUCGCAUUCUGUAGGUCGCGGGUUCAACUCCCGUAGGGCUCU
RNAcentral lists this transfer RNA (82 nucleotides) under Violaceomyces palustris. RNAcentral's name for it is "tRNA-Arg". It matches the Rfam family "tRNA". From Rfam's summary of the family: Transfer RNA (tRNA) molecules are approximately 80 nucleotides in length. Their secondary structure includes four short double-helical elements and three loops (D, anti-codon, and T loops). Further hydrogen bonds mediate the characteristic L-shaped molecular structure. tRNAs have two regions of fundamental functional importance: the anti-codon, which is responsible for specific mRNA codon recognition, and the 3' end, to which the tRNAs corresponding amino acid is attached (by aminoacyl-tRNA synthetases). tRNAs cope with the degeneracy of the genetic code in two manners: having more than one tRNA (with a specific anti-codon) for a particular amino acid; and 'wobble' base-pairing, i.e. permitting non-standard base-pairing at the 3rd anti-codon position. Lineage: Eukaryota; Fungi; Basidiomycota; Ustilaginomycetes; Violaceomycetales; Violaceomycetaceae. The record is from RNAcentral.